RNAcentral lists this ribosomal RNA (447 nucleotides) under uncultured bacterium. RNAcentral's name for it is "partial 16S ribosomal RNA". It matches the Rfam family "Bacterial small subunit ribosomal RNA", at positions 29 to 523 of the family's 1533-position model. The record is from RNAcentral.
AGCGAACGCUGGCGGCAGGCUUAACACAUGCAAGUCGAACGCCCCGCAAGGGGAGUGGCAGACGGGUGAGUAACACGUGGGAACGUACCCUUUGGUUCGGAAUAACUUGGGGAAACUCAAGCUAAUACCGGAUAAGCCCUUAUGGGGAAAGGUUUACUGCCGAAGGAUCGGCCCGCGUCUGAUUAGCUAGUUGGUGAGGUAAUGGCUCACCAAGGCGACGAUCAGUAGCUGGUCUGAGAGGAUGAUCAGCCACACUGGGACUGAGACACGGCCCAGACUCCUACGGGAGGCAGCAGUGGGGAAUAUUGGACAAUGGGGGCAACCCUGAUCCAGCCAUGCCGCGUGAGUGAUGAAGGCCCUAGGGUUGUAAAGCUCUUUUACCCGGGACGAUAAUGACUGUACCGGGAGAAUAAGCCCCGGCUAACUUCGUGCCAGCAGCCGCCGUAA